CACCUCUCAGGGUCGCACCUGGAGAGUUUCCAGGACUCUAUCAGUCUUGACUAUGGGAGGGAGAGUCAAGCAGAGGCAUAUCCAUUCCAUUCCUAGUUUAGACAGUGAUUAGCGAGUGGCAGGCAAUCUGCUACAAUU
Molecule: non-coding RNA, 138 nt
Organism: Ornithorhynchus anatinus (platypus)
Lineage: Eukaryota; Metazoa; Chordata; Mammalia; Monotremata; Ornithorhynchidae
Source: Rfam